This 396-nucleotide ribosomal RNA is filed under the name uncultured bacterium. RNAcentral describes it as "partial 16S ribosomal RNA". It matches the Rfam family "Bacterial small subunit ribosomal RNA", at positions 523 to 918 of the family's 1533-position model. The record is from RNAcentral.
AUACGUAGGGAGCGAGCGUUGUCCGGAAUUACUGGGUGUAAAGGGAGCGUAGGCGGGAGUGCAAGUCAGAUGUGAAAUACAUGGGCUCAACCCAUGGGCUGCAUUUGAAACUGCAUUUCUUGAGUGAAGUAGAGGUAAGCGGAAUUCCUGGUGUAGCGGUGAAAUGCGUAGAUAUCAGGAGGAACACCGGUGGCGAAGGCGGCUUACUGGGCUUUUACUGACGCUGAGGCUCGAAAGCGUGGGGAGCAAACAGGAUUAGAUACCCUGGUAGUCCACGCUGUAAACGAUGAUUACUAGGUGUGGGGGGACUGACCCCUUCCGUGCCGCUGUUAACACAAUAAGUAAUCCACCUGGGGGGUACGGCCGCAAGGUUGAAACUCAAAUGAAUUGACGGGG